GUGUCAGCCGCCGCGGUAAUACGGGGGGGGCGAGCGUUGCCCGGAAUCACUGGGCUUAAAGGGGGCGUAGGCGGUUUGGCAAGUCAAGUGUGAAAUUCCACGGCUCAACUGUGGAGCUGCGCUUGAAACUGCCAAACUUGAGGCCAGUAGAGGGAGACGGAUUUGCCGGUGUAGGGGUGAAAUCCGUAGAUAUCGGCAAGAACGCCGGUGGGGAAGCCGGUCUCCUGGGCUGAGCCUGACGCUGAGGCCCGAAAGCUAGGGGAGCGAACGGGAUUAGAUACCCCGGUAGUCCUAGCCGUAAACGAUGCUCACUAGGUGUGGGGCGCACAUGCGCUCUGUGCUGAAGCUAACGCGUUAAGUGAGCCGCCUGGGGAGUAUGCCCGCAAGGGUGAAACUUAAAGGAAUUGGCGGGG
Molecule: ribosomal RNA, 413 nt
Filed under: uncultured prokaryote
Description: bacterial SSU rRNA
Rfam family: Bacterial small subunit ribosomal RNA
Source: RNAcentral